GACGAACGCUGGCGGCGUGCCUAAUACAUGCAAGUUGAGCGCUGAAGGUUGGUACUUGUACCGACUGGAUGAGCAGCGAACGGGUGAGUAACGCGUGGGGAAUCUGCCUUUGAGCGGGGGACAACAUUUGGAAACGAAUGCUAAUACCGCAUAAAAACUUUAAACACAAGUUUUAAGUUUGAAAGAUGCAAUUGCAUCACUCAAAGAUGAUCCCGCGUUGUAUUAGCUAGUUGGUGAGGUAAAGGCUCACCAAGGCGAUGAUACAUAGCCGACCUGAGAGGGUGAUCGGCCACAUUGGGACUGAGACACGGCCCAAACUCCUACGGGAGGCAGCAGUAGGGAAUCUUCGGCAAUCGACGAAAGUCUGACCGAGCAACGCCGCGUGAGUGAAGAAGGUUUUCGGAUCGUAAAACUCUGUUGGUAGAGAAGACCGUUGGUGAGAGUGGAAAGCUCAUCAAGUGACGGUAACUACCCAGAAAGGGACGGCUAACUACGUG
Molecule: ribosomal RNA, 497 nt
Filed under: uncultured bacterium
Lineage: Bacteria
Description: partial 16S ribosomal RNA
Rfam family: Bacterial small subunit ribosomal RNA
Source: RNAcentral